UCCAGGCUCAGUGGCACGUGCCUGUCAUCCCAGCUACUCGAGAGGCUGAGGCUGGAGGAUCGCUUGAGUUCAGGAGUUCUGGGCUGUAGAGCGCUAUGCCGAUCGGGUGUCCGCACUAAGUUCGGCAUCAAUACACUGACCUCCUGGGAGCGGGGGACCACCAGUUUGCCUAAGGAGGGGUGAACCGGCCCAGGUUGGAAAUGGAAUGACUCAAAAUUCCCAUGCUGAUCAGUAAGCGGAUCGCACCUGUGAAUAGCCACUGUACUCCAGCCUGGGCAACAUAGCAAGACCCCAUCUCUU
Unclassified non-coding RNA from Callithrix jacchus (white-tufted-ear marmoset), 300 nucleotides. It matches the Rfam family "Metazoan signal recognition particle RNA". From Rfam's summary of the family: The signal recognition particle (SRP) is a universally conserved ribonucleoprotein. The record is from Ensembl. Lineage: Eukaryota; Metazoa; Chordata; Mammalia; Primates; Cebidae.